GGGUGAGUAACGCGUGAGUAACCUGCCCUGGAGUGGGGGACAACAGUUGGAAACGACUGCUAAUACCGCAUAAGCCCACGGAUCCGCAUGGAUCUGCGGGAAAAGGAUUUAUUCGCUUCAGGAUGGACUCGCGUCCAAUUAGCUAGUUGGUGAGGUAACGGCCCACCAAGGCGACGAUUGGUAGCCGGACUGAGAGGUUGAACGGCCACAUUGGGACUGAGACACGGCCCAGACUCCUACGGGAGGCAGCAGUGGGGGAUAUUGCACAAUGGGGGAAACCCUGAUGCAGCGACGCCGCGUGGAGGAAGAAGGUUUUCGGAUUGUAAACUCCUGUCGUUAGGGACGAUAAUGACGGUACCUAACAAGAAAGCACCGGCUAACUACGUGCCAGCAGCCGCGGUAAAACGUAGGGUGCAAGCGUUGUCCGGAAUUACUGGGUGUAAAGGGAGCGCAGGCGGACCGGCAAGUUGGAAGUGAAAACUAUGGGCUCAACCCAUAAAUUGCUUUCAAAACUGCUGGCCUUGAGUAGUGCAGAGGUAGGUGGAAUUCCCGGUGUAGCGGUGGAAUGCGUAGAUAUCGGGAGGAACACCAGUGGCGAAGGCG
This 603-nucleotide ribosomal RNA is filed under the name uncultured Lachnospiraceae bacterium. RNAcentral's name for it is "bacterial SSU rRNA". It matches the Rfam family "Bacterial small subunit ribosomal RNA", at positions 104 to 723 of the family's 1533-position model. The record is from RNAcentral. Lineage: Bacteria; Bacillati; Bacillota; Clostridia; Lachnospirales; Lachnospiraceae.